UGAAUACGAGACGCUAAGGCGUCGAAGUAGUGUAUGUCAUACUUCCAAGAGAAGCUUGCACUGUCAUAAGUAAAAAAUGCCUGUACCAUAACCGACACAGGUGGGUAGGUAGAGUAUACUAAGGGGCGCGAGAUAACUCUCUCUAAGGAACUCGGCAAAAUAACUCCGUAACUUCGGGAGAAGGAGUACCUUAUUCUAUAAGGUUGCAAUAACAAGAUCCAAGCAACUGUUUAUCAAAAACACAGGUCUCCGCUAAGUCGUAAGACGAUGUAUGGGGGCUGACGCCUGCCCAGUGCCAGAAGGUUAAAGAAGUCGGUUAGCAUUAGCGAAGCUGGUAACUGAAGCCCUGGUGAACGGCGGCCGUAACAAUAACGGUCCUAAGGUAGCGAAAUUCCUUGUCGGGUAAGUUCCGACCCGCACGAAAGGCGUAAUGAUUUGGAUACUGUCUCGGAGAGGGGCUCGGUGAAAUAGACUUGUCUGUGAAGAUGCGGACUACCUGCACCAGGACAGAAAGACCCUAUGAAGCUUUACUGUAACUUGAAAUUGAAAUUGGACUUUAUUCGCGCAGUAUAGGUGGGAGGUGUUGAUUAUAAUCUUGCGGGAUUAUUGGAGCCAUCAGUGAGAUACCACUCUUGUAAUGUUAGAUUUCUAACUUUGAAUCAUUAUCUGGUCAAAGGACAGUUUCAGGCGGGCAGUUUGACUGGGGCGGUCGCCUCCCAAACGGUAACGGAGGCGUACAAAGGUUUCCUCUGAACGGGUAGAAAUCGUAUCUAGAGUGUAAAGGCAUAAGGAAGCUUGACUGUGAGACCUACAAGUCGAACAGGGACGAAAGUCGGUCUUAGUGAUCUGACGGUACUGAGUGGAAAGGCCGUCACUCAACGGAUAAAAGUUACUCUAAGGAUAACAGGCUGAUCUCCCCCAAGAGUUCACAUCGACGGGGAGGUUUGGCACCUCGAUGUCGGCUCAUCGCAUCCUGGGGCGGUAGUACGUCCCAAGGGUUGGGCUGUUCGCCCAUGAAAGCGGUACGCGAGCUGGGUUCAGAACGUCGUGAGACAGUUCGGUCCAUAUCCGGUGUAGGCGUUAGAAUAUUGAGAGGAGCCUUCUUUAGUACGAGAGGACCGAGAAGGACAUACCUCUGGUGUACCAGUUAUCGUGCCUACGGUAAACGCUGGGUAGCUAUGUAUGGAGUGGAUAACCGCUGAAAGCAUCUAAGUGGGAAGCCCACCUCAAGAUAAGUAUUCUCC
This 1244-nucleotide ribosomal RNA is filed under the name metagenome. Its description in RNAcentral is "bacterial LSU rRNA". It matches the Rfam family "Bacterial large subunit ribosomal RNA", at positions 1564 to 2816 of the family's 2925-position model. The record is from RNAcentral.